Molecule: ribosomal RNA, 484 nt
Filed under: uncultured bacterium
Lineage: Bacteria
Description: partial 16S ribosomal RNA
Rfam family: Bacterial small subunit ribosomal RNA
Source: RNAcentral
AUUGAACGCUGGCGGCAGGCCUAACACAUGCAAGUCGAGCGGAUGAAGGGAGCUUGCUCCUGGAUUCAGCGGCGGACGGGUGAGUAAUGCCUAGGAAUCUGCCUGGUAGUGGGGGAUAACGUCCGGAAACGGGCGCUAAUACCGCAUACGUCCUGAGGGAGAAAGUGGGGGAUCUUCGGACCUCACGCUAUCAGAUGAGCCUAGGUCGGAUUACCUAGUUGGUGGGGUAAAGGCCUACCAAGGCGACGAUCCGUAACUGGUCUGAGAGGAUGAUCAGUCACACUGGAACUGAGACACGGUCCAGACUCCUACGGGAGGCAGCAGUGGGGAAUAUUGGACAAUGGGCGAAAGCCUGAUCCAGCCAUGCCGCGUGUGUGAAGAAGGUCUUCGGAUUGUAAAGCACUUUAAGUUGGGAGGAAGGGCAGUAAGUUAAUACCUUGCUGUUUUGACGUUACCAACAGAAUAAGCACCGGCUGACUUCGUG